Molecule: unclassified non-coding RNA, 305 nt
Organism: Erinaceus europaeus (western European hedgehog)
Lineage: Eukaryota; Metazoa; Chordata; Mammalia; Eulipotyphla; Erinaceidae
Gene: 7SK
Rfam family: 7SK RNA
About the family: 7SK was discovered as an abundant small nuclear RNA in the mid-70s but a possible function has only recently been suggested. Two independent studies have found that 7SK RNA binds the CDK9/cyclin T complex (known as elongation factor P-TEFb). P-TEFb activates transcription by phosphorylating the C-terminal domain of RNA polymerase II.
Source: Ensembl
AGAUGUGAUGUUUGAUCUGGCUAAGAUAUCUGUCACCCCACUGAUCGACAGGGUUGAUUUGGGUGAUCUGGCUGGCUAGGCAGGUGUCCCUUUCCACCAUCACCUCUCUAUGUGUGUCCCUCCCGAAGCUGCGCUUGGUCAAAGAGGACAGCCUUCCCGGAAUAGAGAAGGACCGGUCUUAGGUCAAGGGUAUAGAGUAGCUGCACUUUACUGCUAGAACCUCCAAACAAGCUCUCAAGGUCAAAGGUAAGUUAGUUAAAAUAUACCUUACUGUGAUUAUUGAAAUGUAAUUAAUGUUAUUUUUA